AGCGAACGCUGGCGGCAGGCUUAACACAUGCAAGUCGAACGAUCCUUCGGGAUAGUGGCGGACGGGUGAGUAACACGUGGGAACGUGCCUUUAGGUUCGGAACAACACAGGGAAACUUGUGCUAAUACCGGAUAAGCCCUUCGGGGAAGGAUUUAUCGCCUUUAGUAGCGGCCCGCGUCUGAUUAGCUAGUUGGUGAGGUAAAGGACUCACCAAGGCUACGAUCAGUAGCUGGUCUGAGAGGAUGAUCAGCCACACUGGGACUGAGACACGGCCC
Molecule: ribosomal RNA, 275 nt
Filed under: uncultured bacterium
Lineage: Bacteria
Description: partial 16S ribosomal RNA
Rfam family: Bacterial small subunit ribosomal RNA
Source: RNAcentral